Molecule: long non-coding RNA, 347 nt
Organism: Hibiscus syriacus
Lineage: Eukaryota; Viridiplantae; Streptophyta; Magnoliopsida; Malvales; Malvaceae
Exons: 2
Source: RefSeq, a predicted model, not a curated record
CUUAGAGUCUCUGCCUUCGUUGCCCAAAUCAUUGUUCUCUGUCGCAAUUCACGAUCCUUGACGGAGCUCUCAGCAGUAGCAGCAUCUCGAUUUUCCCCUAAAGGAGUAUUUUGAAGAUUUAUGCAGUCUGCAACCUUCUUAUGCUAGAGACCAAUAGAUUAUCUUCAAGUUUUAUUCGUUUAUUGCACCGAAUGGUAAUAUCAGGAUUUUAGUGUCCUGUUUCUUCCAUUGUUGAGUGUUGAGAGAAUACAAGAACUUGUUCGAUUCGUCGAAUUUAUCUUUGAUUUCAAUGGCAGCACAAACCUUGUUUUCUGGGUAUUGCUCAAAUUCAAUAACCCCAUUAUAUA